Molecule: long non-coding RNA, 2286 nt
Organism: Macaca mulatta (Rhesus monkey)
Lineage: Eukaryota; Metazoa; Chordata; Mammalia; Primates; Cercopithecidae
Source: Ensembl
UAAAGUUAAAAUUGCUUAGUAUAGUGUUCAUAAUAGAAAAAUCAAUUUUAAAAGAAUCCACUAAGAUUUUUUUCUAAGUAGGCAACAGUUUAAAAAUGUACGCAAGAAGGAAGGAGGAAAGGGAGGGAGGGAAGAUAAAAGGGGCUCUUAGACUUCAUAAAUCAUGUUCAUACUUCCAUUUAAUGUAAUAAUGGUCAGAUGGGUAGCCCUGCAUUUCUCCCUAUGUGCAAAAGUAGGGGAGCUGUACAUCAUCAUUGACUGUUGACCACUGCAAGAUCUAAUUUCAGGCACAUUUAAAAUACUGGCCUUCUUUAAAAAUAUCAUUAUUCCCCAAAUGUAUAAAAACAAACUUACUAUACUGUCUCAAGGAUAUGUUAUUAUUUCAAAUCAUUGUUCUGCUUUAGAUAAAUCCAAUGUAUUACAGUGCGCAAUUUUUUGUUACAUCUGAAAUACUUUUUGUAGUUUUAUUGGUUCCUGAAGAAAAAUAUAACUCUUCUCUCACUAACUAUAAGAACAUAUUAUACCUUAAUUAAAACAACUUAUUGUUCAUAUUUUGGCAGGAAACUCCUCUCAAGAAAUCCUAAAACUAAGAAGUUUUCAUCCUGUGAUCAAUUCCAAAGACUCUGUGAUGCUUUCUUUGUGCUGUUGAUAUUAAUUUCCCAGAGAUUUUUAAGUUUCUUUGUCCUAAAAACUCAUCAAGAUUUGAGCAUGCUUAAACAAAAGGGAGCACCCACACACAUGAAAGCAUCUUUUAACAUUGCCAGUGAGCAGACAGAUGUAGAAAGAAUUAACAGCAGAAAAGAACAGAAGGACUCUGAAUUCAAAGACUUAAACCAGCAGGUACGGACAGAUUCAUGGUUUACCAAGCCUAGACCAGUAUUUUGGAACAGCAGGUAGAGAGAUGACAUGAUUCAGAAGAAGCUUGAAGCAGAAGAGGACAUUUUUAUUUUAAAUAAAUGGUAAUAUUAAAAGGGUAAUAUCCUUGAAUUAAUGAUGGACACAUACUAAAUUAACUUAUUUGGGAGAAUUAACUUGCAUUUUUUUUAGUCUCCAUUUUGUUUAUAUUUUCCUCAUUCUUAGAAGCAUGAAAAUCCAAUUCUUUUUUACCCUGCUGAUUUUUUGACAUUUUCCAUUUGGCAAAAAGGAAUUUCUCUCCCUCUCUGGUGUUUCUAAUGGACCUGAAACCCAUGUGAUUAACAUGGCUUCCUUCCUCACGCUAGGCUUGGCAUCAAUAUCACUUUCAGAAUUAAUAUGUGUAUCUCCUGAGAGCAAGCACUAAUUUCUAGGAGUUCUAGCUAAAAAGCUAUUAUAAAUGGCUACUGUUACUGGGCAUGAGAGCUAAGUGGAAAAGAAAAUAUUUUGGGUGCUUGAAUCUUUGCUUUUAAAUUAUUCAGAAAAAAUUAAACUUAUGUUAUUGGAAUACCAAGAUCAAGUUAUGGACUUCUUCCUCUUCAGGGGGCAAUACUUCUCCUGACUGAGUACAAAUGAGCAAUAUUUCAAGCUUUCUAAUCUGCUACAUAUUAGAAUCACCAGGGGAACUUUUCAACUAAAACAUAUUAGCAUCCAGGCACCACCUUCAGAGAGUCUCAGCCAAUUGUUCUGGAUGAAUAUCUGACAUCUAAUACUUUUUAAAAUGUAUUCCAAAGUUGAUACUAAUCUACCUCCAGGAUUUAAAUCCUAGGCAUACUCUAUUUAUCCUUAUACAAUUAAAAUGUGUUUAAAAAAUCACUGGUGAAAUCAAUGAUCUGAGAUGAUUAAACUACUUAAAAUAUUUCCAUUAAAAUUAAAGUUCCUUAACAAAUUGAGGUGGUCGUCCUAAUACAUUUUGUUCCGCUAUAACAGAAUACCUGAGACUGGGUAAUUUACAAUGAACAUAAAUUUAUUGGCUUAAUGUAUCUGGAGGUUGGGAAGUCAAACCUCCAGAUUGAGGGGCCGGCAUUUGGCAAAGGCCAUGGUAGAAGAGCAAAAACAGAGUAAGAGAGACAAAGAUAUUAAACUCCCAGCCUUGAGCCCUUUUAGAAUCAGCAUUAAUCUAUUCAUGAGAGUGGACCCCUCCUGACCUAAACACCUCCCAAGGGGCCCCACCUCUCAACACUGCCACAUUGCAGAUUAAGUUUCCAAUAUAUGCUUUUGGGGGGACACAUUCAAACCACAGCAGAGUUCAUGCUGGUUUUACAUUUCAUGCUUACCAAAAUUUAAUUUAAUAUCAAAAGCUUAAAAUCAGUUCUUCGAAAGCAAUUUUUCUUUCUGUUAAUUCUGACAACCAAUUUAUCAAUAAAUUAAAAU